RNAcentral lists this ribosomal RNA (540 nucleotides) under Pestalotiopsis sp. PQA08. Its description in RNAcentral is "eukaryotic LSU rRNA". It matches the Rfam family "Eukaryotic large subunit ribosomal RNA", at positions 50 to 601 of the family's 3401-position model. The record is from RNAcentral. Lineage: Eukaryota; Fungi; Ascomycota; Sordariomycetes; Amphisphaeriales; Sporocadaceae.
ACUGAGGAAAAGAACCAACAGGGAUUGCCUUAGUAACGGCGAGUGAAGCGGCAACAGCUCAAAUUUGAAAUCUGGCCCUCGGGUCCGAAUUGUAAUUUGUAGAGGAUGAUUUUGGUGCGGUAUCUUCCGAGUUCCUUGGAACAGGACGCCUUAGAGGGUGAGAGCCCCGUACGGUUGAAUGCCUAGCCUCUGUAAAUCUCCUUCGACGAGUCGAGUAGUUUGGGAAUGCUGCUCUAAAUGGGAGGUAAAUUUCUUCUAAAGCUAAAUAUUGGCCAGAGACCGAUAGCGCACAAGUAGAGUGAUCGAAAGAUGAAAAGCACUUUGAAAAGAGGGUUAAAUAGCACGUGAAAUUGUUGAAAGGGAAGGAUUUGUGACCAGACUUUUUCUGGGCGGAUCAUCCGGGGUUCUCUCCGGUGCACUUUGCCCAGUAAAGGCCAGCAUCGAUUUUCGGCGGCGGAUAAAAGCAGUGGGAAUGUGGCUCCCUACGGGGAGUGUUAUAGCCCAUUGUAUAAUACGCUGCUGGGGAUCGAGGUACGCGCU